RNAcentral lists this ribosomal RNA (253 nucleotides) under uncultured bacterium. RNAcentral describes it as "partial 16S ribosomal RNA". It matches the Rfam family "Bacterial small subunit ribosomal RNA", at positions 524 to 776 of the family's 1533-position model. The record is from RNAcentral.
UACGGAGGGUGCAAGCGUUGUUCGGAAUUAUUGGGCGUAAAGCGCAUGUAGGCGGCUAUGACAGUCUGAUGUGAAAGCCCGGGGCUUAACCCCGGAAGUGCAUUGGAUACUACAUAGCUAGAGGAUUAGAGAGGAAAGCGGAAUUCUUGGUGUAGGGGUGAAAUCCGUAGAUAUCAAGAGGAACACCGAUGGCGAAGGCAGCUUUCUGGCUAAUAUCUGACGCUGAGAUGCGAAAGCGUGGGUAGCAAACAGG